GCGGUGGAGCAUGUGGUUUAAUUCGAAGCAACGCGAAGAACCUUACCAGGUCUUGACAUCCUUUUGAAUGGUCUAGAGAUAGAUCAGGCCUUCGGGACAGAAGAGACAGGUGGUGCAUGGUUGUCGUCAGCUCGUGUCGUGAGAUGUUGGGUUAAGUCCCGCAACGAGCGCAACCCUUAUCAUUAGUUGCUAACAUUCAGUUGAGAACUCUAAUGAGACUGCCAGUGAUAAACUGGAGGAAGGUGGGAUGACGUCAAAUCAUCAUGCCCCUUAUGACCUGGGCUACACACGUGCUACAAUGGCCGGUACAAAGAGUUGCGAAACUGUGAAGUUAAGCUAAUCUCAUAAAGCCGGUCUCAGUUCGGAUUGUAGUCUGCAACUCGACUACAUGAAGUCGGAAUCGCUAGUAAUCGCGAAUCAGAAUGUCGCGGUGAAUACGUUCUCGAGUCUU
RNAcentral lists this ribosomal RNA (451 nucleotides) under uncultured Bacillota bacterium. RNAcentral's name for it is "bacterial SSU rRNA". It matches the Rfam family "Bacterial small subunit ribosomal RNA", at positions 929 to 1382 of the family's 1533-position model. The record is from RNAcentral. Lineage: Bacteria; Bacillati; Bacillota.